UCACAUAAAGUGCAUAUUAUACCAGCUUUUCCAUUUCAAAUAUCGAGAUUUGAGGUAAUGGGUAGCUUUGUUUCUUUUGUAGGAUGUCUCUGAAAUGCUCUGGUCUCUACCUGGCUCUAUAAUCACAUAAAGUGCAUAUCAUUGCAGCUUUUCCAUUUCAAAUAUCAAGAUUUGAGGUAAUGGGUAGGUUUGUUUUCGUAGGAUGUCUCUGAAAUGCUCUGGUCUCUACCUGGCUCAAUAUAGAUCCACCUCACCACAUCUUUUGGCAAGUGGGGAUGGCUCAAAGACGGCAGCGAUCAGUGGUGAUGUUUAUAUCCAUCCAUCUGCUAAAGUUCAUCCAACUGCAAAGGUUAUAUUCAGAUACAACUACAACUAACAUAUUCUGAUUAUUAUGUUAUGCUGUAGAUCUCAUGUUGAUUAAUUGAGAUGAAUGGUUUUAUUUUUUACUGCAAUA
This 454-nucleotide long non-coding RNA is filed under the name Nicotiana benthamiana. Its description in RNAcentral is "long non-coding RNA (NBEN_LNC024254)". Lineage: Eukaryota; Viridiplantae; Streptophyta; Magnoliopsida; Solanales; Solanaceae. The record is from RNAcentral.